ACCUUCGGGCCUCUUGCCAUCGGAUGUGCCCAGAUGGGAUUAGCUAGUAGGUGGGGUAACGGCUCACCUAGGCGACGAUCCCUAGCUGGUCUGAGAGGAUGACCAGCCACACUGGAACUGAGACACGGUCCAGACUCCUACGGGAGGCAGCAGUGGGGAAUAUUGCACAAUGGGCGCAAGCCUGAUGCAGCCAUGCCGCGUGUAUGAAGAAGGCCUUCGGGUUGUAAAGUACUUUCAGCGGGGAGGAAGGGAGUAAAGUUAAUACCUUUGCUCAUUGACGUUACCCGCAGAAGAAGCACCGGCUAACUCCG
Molecule: ribosomal RNA, 311 nt
Filed under: Acinetobacter calcoaceticus
Lineage: Bacteria; Pseudomonadati; Pseudomonadota; Gammaproteobacteria; Moraxellales; Moraxellaceae
Also listed under: 1 other name
Description: bacterial SSU rRNA
Rfam family: Bacterial small subunit ribosomal RNA
Source: RNAcentral